UUAAGUGACUAAGCGUACACGGUGGAUGCCUGGGCAGUCAGAGGCGAUGAAGGACGUACUAACUUGCGAUAAGCGCAGAUAAGGCAGUAAGAGCCGUUUGAGUCUGCGAUUUCCGAAUGGGGAAACCCAACUGCAUAAGCAGUUACUGUUAACUGAAUACAUAGGUUAACAGAGCAAACCGGGGGAACUGAAACAUCUAAGUACCCCGAGGAGAAGAAAUCAACCGAGAUUCCGGUAGUAGCGGCGAGCGAACCUGGAUUAGCCCUUAAGCACUCGGUGAAGUAGGUGAACAAGCUGGAAAGCUUGGCGAUACAGGGUGAUAGCCCCGUAACCGACGCUUCAUCGAGCGUGAAAUCGAGUAGGGCGGGACACGUGAUAUCCUGUCUGAAUAUGGGGGGACCAUCCUCCAAGGCUAAAUACUCCUGACUGACCGAUAGUGAACCAGUACCGUGAGGGAAAGGCGAAAAGAACCCCUGUGAGGGGAGUGAAAUAGAACCUGAAACCGUGUACGUACAAGCAGUAGGAGCACCUUCGUGGUGUGACUGCGUACCUUUUGUAUAAUGGGUCAGCGACUUAUAUUCAGUGGCAAGGUUAACCGUAUAGGGGAGCCGUAGCGAAAGCGAGUCUUAACUGGGCGCUCAGUCUCUGGAUAUAGACCCGAAACCGGGUGAUCUAGCCAUGGGCAGGUUGAAGGUUGAGUAACAUCAACUGGAGGACCGAACCGACUAAUGUUGAAAAAUUAGCGGAUGACUUGUGGCUAGGGGUGAAAGGCCAAUCAAACUCGGAGAUAGCUGGUUCUCCCCGAAAGCUAUUUAGGUAGCGCCUCGGACGAAUACUACUGGGGGUAGAGCACUGUUAAGGCUAGGGGGUCAUCCCGACUUACCAACCCUUUGCAAACUCCGAAUACCAGAAGUACUAUCCGGGAGACACACGGCGGGUGCUAACGUCCGUCGUGGAGAGGGAAACAACCCAGACCGCCAGCUAAGGUCCCAAAGUAUUGCUAAGUGGGAAACGAUGUGGGAAGGCUCAGACAGCUAGGAUGUUGGCUUAGAAGCAGCCAUCAUUUAAAGAAAGCGUAAUAGCUCACUAGUCGAGUCGGCCUGCGCGGAAGAUGUAACGGGGCUAAGCAAUACACCGAAGCUGCGGCAAUGUCUUUUAGACAUUGGGUAGGGGAGCGUUCUGUAAGCCGUUGAAGGUGAAUCGUAAGGUUUGCUGGAGGUAUCAGAAGUGCGAAUGCUGACAUGAGUAACGACAAAGGGGGUGAAAAACCUCCUCGCCGGAAGACCAAGGGUUCCUGUCCAACGUUAAUCGGGGCAGGGUGAGUCGACCCCUAAGGUGAGGCCGAAAGGCGUAAUCGAUGGGAAACGGGUUAAUAUUCCCGUACUUCUGACUAUUGCGAUGGGGGGACGGAGAAGGCUAGGUGGGCCAGGCGACGGUUGUCCUGGUUCAAGUGCGUAGGCUUGAGAGUUAGGUAAAUCCGGCUCUCUCUAAGGCUGAGACACGACGUCGAGCUACUACGGUAGUGAAGUCAUUGAUGCCAUGCUUCCAGGAAAAGCCUCUAAGCUUCAGAUAGUCAGGAAUCGUACCCCAAACCGACACAGGUGGUCGGGUAGAGAAUACCAAGGCGCUUGAGAGAACUCGGGUGAAGGAACUAGGCAAAAUGGUACCGUAACUUCGGGAGAAGGUACGCUCUUGAUGGUGAAGUCCCUCGCGGAUGGAGCUGACGAGAGUCGCAGAUACCAGGUGGCUGCAACUGUUUAUUAAAAACACAGCACUGUGCAAAAUCGCAAGAUGACGUAUACGGUGUGACGCCUGCCCGGUGCCGGAAGGUUAAUUGAUGGGGUUAGCGCAAGCGAAGCUCUUGAUCGAAGCCCCGGUAAACGGCGGCCGUAACUAUAACGGUCCUAAGGUAGCGAAAUUCCUUGUCGGGUAAGUUCCGACCUGCACGAAUGGCGUAAUGAUGGCCACGCUGUCUCCACCCGAGACUCAGUGAAAUUGAAAUCGCUGUGAAGAUGCAGUGUACCCGCGGCUAGACGGAAAGACCCCGUGAACCUUUACUACAGCUUGGCACUGAACAUUGAACCUACAUGUGUAGGAUAGGUGGGAGGCUAUGAAGACGUGACGCCAGUUGCGUUGGAGCCGUCCUUGAAAUACCACCCUUGUAUGUUUGAUGUUCUAACUUAGACCCAUUAUCUGGGUUGAGGACAGUGCCUGGUGGGUAGUUUGACUGGGGCGGUCUCCUCCCAAAGAGUAACGGAGGAGCACGAAGGUGGGCUAAUCACGGUUGGACAUCGUGAGGUUAGUGCAAUGGCAUAAGCCCGCUUAACUGCGAGAAUGACGGUUCGAGCAGGUGCGAAAGCAGGUCAUAGUGAUCCGGUGGUUCUGUAUGGAAGGGCCAUCGCUCAACGGAUAAAAGGUACUCCGGGGAUAACAGGCUGAUACCGCCCAAGAGUUCAUAUCGACGGCGGUGUUUGGCACCUCGAUGUCGGCUCAUCACAUCCUGGGGCUGAAGUCGGUCCCAAGGGUAUGGCUGUUCGCCAUUUAAAGUGGUACGCGAGCUGGGUUUAGAACGUCGUGAGACAGUUCGGUCCCUAUCUGCCGUGGGCGUUGGAAGAUUGAAGGGGGCUGCUCCUAGUACGAGAGGACCGGAGUGGACGAACCUCUGGUGUUCGGGUUGUGUCGCCAGACGCAUUGCCCGGUAGCUAAGUUCGGAAUUGAUAAGCGCUGAAAGCAUCUAAGCGCGAAGCGAGCCCUGAGAUGAGUCUUCCCUGACAGUUUAACUGUCCUAAAGGGUUGUUCGAGACUAGAACGUUGAUAGGCAGGGUGUGUAAGCGUUGUGAGGCGUUGAGCUAACCUGUACUAAUUGCCCGUGAGGCUUAACCAU
Molecule: ribosomal RNA, 2884 nt
Filed under: Vibrio cholerae
Lineage: Bacteria; Pseudomonadati; Pseudomonadota; Gammaproteobacteria; Vibrionales; Vibrionaceae
Description: bacterial LSU rRNA
Rfam family: Bacterial large subunit ribosomal RNA
Source: RNAcentral